AAAUGUGAUCUUUAGUAUUUCUCCAGUAGGUUUUCCUGAAGGAGGAAAGCCUCC
RNAcentral lists this small nuclear RNA (54 nucleotides) under Oncorhynchus tshawytscha (Chinook salmon). Its description in RNAcentral is "U7 small nuclear RNA". It matches the Rfam family "U7 small nuclear RNA". From Rfam's summary of the family: Animal histone pre-mRNAs are spliced by a different mechanism than nuclear pre-mRNAs and self-splicing introns. The record is from Rfam by way of RNAcentral. Lineage: Eukaryota; Metazoa; Chordata; Actinopteri; Salmoniformes; Salmonidae.